Molecule: ribosomal RNA, 253 nt
Filed under: uncultured bacterium
Lineage: Bacteria
Description: partial 16S ribosomal RNA
Rfam family: Bacterial small subunit ribosomal RNA
Source: RNAcentral
UACGAAGGGGGCUAGCGUUGUUCGGAAUCACUGGGCGUAAAGGGUGCGUAGGCGGGUCUUUAAGUCAGGGGUGAAAUCCUGGAGCUCAACUCCAGAACUGCCUUUGAUACUGAGGAUCUUGAGUCCGGGAGAGGUGAGUGGAACUGCGAGUGUAGAGGUGAAAUUCGUAGAUAUUCGCAAGAACACCAGUGGCGAAGGCGGCUCACUGGCCCGAUACUGACGCUGAGGCACGAAAGCGUGGGGAGCAAACAGG